AACUUGACGUACACACGCAGUCCUAUCCCUACGGUCCUGGAAUUGGGGGUUACUAUCUUGGAAUCUAGGGGCACUCCAGGCUCUGGGCUCAGACGGCUGGCUUCUGCCUACCCGAGCCUUAACCUUUCAAGGACCAGAAGGAUUCCAGAGCUCUUGCCCUAGGUCCUGGGGCAGCGAUGACUCACUGCAGCACCCCCUCCCACUUCGCCAAGCUGCCGUCUCCGCCCACCCCCAAACAAUCUCGACAGCGCAUUUCGGGAGCCACGGCUCCGGGCGCUUUGCUGGGGGCUAAAGGGGUUUAUCCCUUUCCUUGAAUCCCAGCAGGCUAGAACUACCCCCUCCCAGUCUUCAGGCUUGCCACGCUCUCCACCCGAUCCUUCCAUUGAAAGGCAGAGAAGGAAGGAUGUGCUUGGGAACUUUAAGACCCACGAACGACAGCGCACUGAUGGAGCAGCCCAGUGUCUGGGGCAAAGUCCUCGAGGUUCAUUCAUUCAGGAAGCCUCUGACCAGCCUUUACCAUGCGCUGAGUGAGAAGCUGAGGAUAAGGAAAGAGCAAGACCCCCAAGAAACCCUGAUGUCUGGCUGAAAGCCGAAGCAUGACGCAACUUUGCUAUAUUUCUCUCCAACAAGGAUUUGUAUAUUUUCGCUUUCUCCUCAAGUAACACCUGGACCUGCUCCUUUCCCUUCAAACGCUGAGGGCUCAGUCUCCAAGUUCCUUUAUGAAACAGGGUGUACCAUCAGAGACGCAGGUAUUUAUUGAAACCUGCUUUGUGCUGGGCAAUGUGCCAGAUGUUGGGGAUAAAAUGGAGACUUCAGAAAUGAAGAUGCAAAGACAACAGGGGAAACCAUAUAUGUUUAUGGACAGUCAUGCCAAAGUAUGAUUGGAAGACAAAAAGCUUUAAUGAAAUGUGUCCAAAAGUCAUUCCCAGGACUAAGUGAAAAAGGAAAGAUAAGCUCCUGGACGUUGGAGUUGGUGAUUAGUUGACAAUAAGGCUGACAGCUUUAUAUCAUGAGGCUGAAAAUUGGAGAUUUGAAUCCUGAAUGAGGAAGAACAACUUUUUCUUCUGUAAGAACCAACAAGUCUCUUUUCUGAGAAAAAGGGAGACAUUUUGACUGUGAGUGGGAGUUUUUAGUUCCUCUAAAGGGACAUUUCAGGGGCACGUUGUUCAACAGAAAAUAUUACCUAGAUGAGAUUGUUCAUCUACUAGACCAGAACUGUUUUUAAUACUAUGUUCUGCACUGUUAAUGCUCAAUAAAUUUUUAGAAGCAAUAUUCCAA
Molecule: long non-coding RNA, 1278 nt
Filed under: Homo sapiens (human)
Lineage: Eukaryota; Metazoa; Chordata; Mammalia; Primates; Hominidae
Description: HSALNT0312219
Source: RNAcentral